This 733-nucleotide ribosomal RNA is filed under the name uncultured bacterium. RNAcentral describes it as "bacterial SSU rRNA". It matches the Rfam family "Bacterial small subunit ribosomal RNA", at positions 94 to 814 of the family's 1533-position model. The record is from RNAcentral.
AGCGGCGGAUGGGUGAGUAACACGUGGGGAACCUGCCCCUAGUCUGGGAUACCAUUUGGAAACAGGUGCUAAUACCGGAUAAUAAAGCAGAUCGCAUGAUCAGCUUUUGAAAGGCAGCGUAAGCUGUCGCUAAGGGAUGGCCCCGCGGUGCAUUAGCUAGUUGGUAAGGUAACGGCUUACCAAGGCGACGAUGCAUAGCCGAGUUGAGAGACUGAUCGGCCACAUUGGGACUGAGACACGGCCCAAACUCCUACGGGAGGCAGCAGUAGGGAAUCUUCCACAAUGGACGCAAGUCUGAUGGAGCAACGCCGCGUGGGUGAAGAAGGUUUUCGGAUCGUAAAGCUCUGUUGUUGGUGAAGAAGGAUAGAGGUAGUAACUGGCCUUUAUUUGACGGUAAUCAACCAGAAAGUCACGGCUAACUACGUGCCAGCAGCCGCGGUAAUACGUAGGUGGCAAGCGUUGUCCGGAUUUAUUGGGCGUAAAGCGAGCGCAGGCGGAAAAAUAAGUCUAAUGUGAAAGCCCUCGGCUUAACCGAGGAACUGCAUCGGAAACUGUUUUUCUUGAGUGCAGAAGAGGAGAGUGGAACUCCAUGUGUAGCGGUGGAAUGCGUAGAUAUAUGGAAGAACACCAGUGGCGAACGCGGCUCUCUGGUCUGCAACUGACGCUGAGGCUCGAAAGCAUGGGUAGCGAACAGGAUUAGAUACCCUGGUAGUCCAUGCCGUAAACGAUGAGU